RNAcentral lists this ribosomal RNA (441 nucleotides) under uncultured bacterium. Its description in RNAcentral is "partial 16S ribosomal RNA". It matches the Rfam family "Bacterial small subunit ribosomal RNA", at positions 338 to 795 of the family's 1533-position model. The record is from RNAcentral.
CCUACGGGAGGCAGCAGUGGGGAAUAUUGCACAAUGGGGGGAACCCUGAUGCAGCGACGCCGCGUGAGCGAGGAAGUAUUUCGGUAUGUAAAGCUCUAUCAGCAGGGACGAAAAAAGACGGUACCUGACUAAGAAGACCCGGCUAACUACGUGCCAGCAGCCGCGGUAAUACGUAGGGGGCAAGCGUUAUCCGGAUUUAAUGGGUGUAAGGGGAGCGUAGACGGCAAGGCAAGCCAGAAGGGAAAGGGUAGGGCUCAACCCUGUACAGGCUUUUGGAACUGUGGUGCUAGAGUGCAGGAGAGGUAAGUGGAAUUCCUAGUGUAGCGGUGAAAUGCGUAGAUAUUAGGAGGAACACCAGUGGCGAAGGCGGCUUACUGGACUGUAACUGACGUUGAGGCUCGAAAGCGUGGGGAGCAAACAGGAUUAGAUACCCGUGUAGUC